UUUUGAUUCAGGCGUGCUGGAGCAGGGAUGCAUCCAAGGACUUAAGGAUCAUUACAUAUGUGCAUCUUGGAUGUGUUGACUACACGCUUUAGGUGAGACGCACCUCCCAGAUGAAUAUUUCAUGGCAGCUAUUGAGCUCACUAUACUACUAGGAAGAUUGCUCAUCUAACGCUUUUAUUUUGAACUGCGACGGUUUAUUUAAACGAACCCGGUUGCAUUAAAACGGGCACGAAGAGGCAUCAGCUAGCUCAGCUGCCCAGCAUGCCCCGACAUGCACAUGGUUAGCUACUCGCCCCUAGCCGGGCACCUCUGCCUUAUUUACACCAAAGCAGGUUCAGGCUCCUCUGAGGGGACCAGUACAGGUUUAGAGGGAAAUUGUGUUUUUAGGAGGGUGAGGAGGCGCGUAAGCCACAGACAGAGAAAUGCGAGAUGCUCCAACUGUGUCUGGAGUCCACAGAAACUUGAUUUAGCGGCAGAGAGAGAGAAGGCGGACCGCUAAAGUUUCGGGGAAACCGAGCAACAGCACAAAGACGGCGGUUGGAAUUUAAAGUCAGUAGAUGUAGGAAGGACAGGUAGAACCAGCGAGGUAUUUUAAGUUGAUAAAUGUAUUUUUUUUUUAACGGGAUGGAGCCGAGCGGGGCUCUGCGCCACGCAUCGUUCAGACAUACCGUCUCUAACCUGAACACAUCACCAACAACAACUGGGGCGAAACGAGCCGCCGGUGGCGAUUUCUACCCGACAAACUCCACCAGAGACUGGGCUAGCAAGCGUGUUCCGAGCCCGAAGCGGGGACAGUGGUUCUCACCAUUAAAACUUUGGCAGCGCUCUCCAGCUGUGUGAUCACUUCUGGUGCACCAACCGCCGCCAUCAUCAUCGGCUCUCUCCAAUGACGCGCCAUGCGCUCUGCAUUGUGGGACUGCCCGGCAGGAUCCACGGCGUGGAGACUCAGCGAGUUACGUAACCGUGGAAAAGCACUUUCCUGUGGCAGAACUCUGCAAGAACUUUGCGCUCUGGAGCUGGACCACGGCUACGAAAAAUGUAAACAAUGACUGGGAGAAAUAUGAGCUGAAAGUGAAGGUUUAAUUUUGAAAUAUACUCAAAUUAUUGCUCAUAAUUCCUGUAUGUCUUACACAGUGGUUCCGCUUUUGCAAAAAGGGAUAAAUAUAAUAAACAACGUAAAAUUGA
Long non-coding RNA from Girardinichthys multiradiatus, 1185 nucleotides. RefSeq lists it as uncharacterized. The record is from RefSeq and is a predicted model, not a curated record. Lineage: Eukaryota; Metazoa; Chordata; Actinopteri; Cyprinodontiformes; Goodeidae. The transcript is spliced from 2 exons.